GACGAACGCUGGCGGCGUGCCUAAUACAUGCAAGUCGAACGCAGUGGGGACGGGAGAGUAACACGUGGGUAACCUCCCAUCAGAGGGGAUAACACUUGGAAACAGGUGCUAAACCGAUACUGAUGGAUGGAUCCGAGGUGCAUUAGCUAGUUGGUGGGGUAACGGCUCACCAAGGCCACGAUGCAUAGCCGACCUGAGAGUGUGGUCGGCCACACUGGGGCUUGACCGCGGCCCAGGCUCCUACGGGAGGCAGCAAUAGGGAAUCUUCGGCAAUGGACGGAAGUCUUACCGAGCAACGCCACGUGAGUGAAGAAGGUUUUCGGAUCGUGAAACUCUGUUGUGAGAUAAACGGUAUCUAACCAGAAAGCCACGGCUAACUACGUGCCAGCAGCCGCGGUAAUUC
RNAcentral lists this ribosomal RNA (403 nucleotides) under uncultured bacterium. RNAcentral's name for it is "partial 16S ribosomal RNA". It matches the Rfam family "Bacterial small subunit ribosomal RNA", at positions 28 to 526 of the family's 1533-position model. The record is from RNAcentral.